This 460-nucleotide ribosomal RNA is filed under the name uncultured bacterium. RNAcentral's name for it is "partial 16S ribosomal RNA". It matches the Rfam family "Bacterial small subunit ribosomal RNA", at positions 338 to 795 of the family's 1533-position model. The record is from RNAcentral.
CCUACGGGAGGCAGCAGUGAGGAAUAUUGGUCAAUGGACGAGAGUCUGAACCAGCCAAGUAGCGUGAAGGAUGACUGCCCUAUGGGUUGUAAACUUCUUUUAUAUGGGAAUAAAAUGUUCCACGUGUGGGAUUUUGUAUGUACCAUAUGAAUAAGGAUCGGCUAACUCCGUGCCAGCAGCCGCGGUAAUACGGAGGAUCCGAGCGUUAUCCGGAUUUAUUGGGUUUAAAGGGAGCGUAGGUGGAUUGUUAAGUCAGGUGUGAAAGUUUGGGGCUCAACCGUAAAAUUGCAGUUGAAACUGGCAGUCUUGAGUACAGGAGAGGGGGGCGGAAUUCGUGGUGUAGCGGUGAAAUGCUUAGAUAUCAGGAGGAACACCGGCGGCGAAGGCGGCCCGCUGGACUGAAACUGACGUUGAGGCUCGAAAGCGUGGGGAGCAAACAGGAUUAGAUACCCGAGUAGUC